This 68-nucleotide transfer RNA is filed under the name Glyptelasma annandalei. RNAcentral's name for it is "tRNA-Gln". Lineage: Eukaryota; Metazoa; Arthropoda; Thecostraca; Poecilasmatidae. The record is from RNAcentral.
UAAUAGUUGGUGUAAAGGCACAUAUCAUUUUGAUUGAUUAGGGAAUAGUGUAAUUCUGUUACUAUUAA